CAUAGAAGAAGCAGAAGCCUGGAACUGAGCUACACGCAGCAGCCUCCUUUCUCCGGUAGCAGUCAAGAGUGAACAACGACGAAUUAAUCGGUUAAAGACCUCCGAAGUAGCAGGCGGCCACGAGCAACCAUUCCCUCUGUGAUGACCCUCCUUCCCUGAACGAACUCCUCCUCGUCAAAGUGGAAGCUCGGUUUGAAGGCGUAGCGGAUGUCCACUCUGAUAUUCCUCAGCUUGAUGGAUGUGAUGGCUUGACG
Gambusia affinis (western mosquitofish) is the source of this 254-nucleotide long non-coding RNA. RefSeq lists it as uncharacterized. The transcript has 3 exons. NCBI's taxonomy places the organism in Eukaryota, Metazoa, Chordata, Actinopteri, Cyprinodontiformes, Poeciliidae. The record is from RefSeq and is a predicted model, not a curated record.